AAGGAUCAUUAUUGAAUAAACUUGGUAGGUUGUAGCUGGCUUUUCGAAGCAUGUGCACGCCCACCAUCUUUAUCUAUCCACCUGUCCACCCUUUGUAGUCUUGGAGGACAAGAGCGGCUGACUCCUCGAACGGCUUCUUCUAGCCUUUCGGAUAUGAGGGAUGCUGUGCGAAAGCACGGCUCUCCUCAAUGGCUUGCAAUUUUCUCUAGGUCUAUGUCUUUUCCAUAUACCACAUAGUAUGUUGUAGAAUGCAUUAUAUGGGCCCAUGUGCCUAUAAAACUCAAUACAACUUUCAGCAACGGAUCUCUUGGCUCUC
Molecule: unclassified non-coding RNA, 316 nt
Filed under: uncultured fungus
Lineage: Eukaryota; Fungi
Description: partial contains 18S rRNA, ITS1, 5.8S rRNA, ITS2 and 28S rRNA
Source: RNAcentral